This 467-nucleotide ribosomal RNA is filed under the name uncultured bacterium. RNAcentral's name for it is "partial 16S ribosomal RNA". It matches the Rfam family "Bacterial small subunit ribosomal RNA", at positions 28 to 507 of the family's 1533-position model. The record is from RNAcentral.
GACGAACGCUGGCGGCGUGCUUAACACAUGCAAGUCGAACGGAAAGGCUCCAGCUUGCUGGAGUACUCGAGUGGCGAACGGGUGAGUAACACGUGGGUAAUCUGCCCUGCACUCUGGGAUAAGCCUGGGAAACUGGGUCUAAUACUGGAUAUGACCUUUCUCCUUAUGGGGUUUGGUGGAAAGUUUUUCGGUGUAGGAUGAGCCCGCGGCCUAUCAGCUUGUUGGUGGGGUGAUGGCCUACCAAGGCGACGACGGGUAGCCGGCCUGAGAGGGUGAUCGGCCACAUUGGGACUGAGAUACGGCCCAGACUCCUACGGGAGGCAGCAGUGCGGAAUAUUGCACAAUGGGCGGAAGCCUGAUGCAGCGACGCCGCGUGAGGGAUGACGGCCUUCGGGUUGUAAACCUCUUUCAGCAGGGACGAAGCGUAAGUGACGGUACCUGCAGAAGAAGCACCGGCUAACUAUGUG